GUGAGGAAUAUUGCGCAAUGGAGGCAACUCUGACGCAGCCAUGCCGCGUGCAGGAAGAAGGCGCUACGCGUUGUAAACUGCUUUUAACCGGGAAGAAACCCCAGGACGUGUCCUGGGUUGACGGUACCGGAGGAAUAAGCACCGGCUAACUUCGUGCCAGCAGCCGCGGUAAUACGAAGGGUGCAAGCGUUAUCCGGAGUCAUUGGGUUUAAAGGGUGCGUAGGCGGAGCGUUAAGUCAGUGGUGAAAUCCUGCAGCUUAACUGUAGACUUGCCAUUGAUACUGGCGCUCUUGAGUGCGCUUGAAGUGGGCGGAAUGUGCCGUGUAGCGGUGAAAUGCUUAGAUAUGGCACAGAACACCAAUUGCGAAGGCAGCUCACUAAGGCGAUACUGACGCUGAGGCACGAAAGCGUGGGGAUCGAACAGGAUUAGAAACCCCGGUAGUCC
This 445-nucleotide ribosomal RNA is filed under the name uncultured bacterium. RNAcentral's name for it is "partial 16S ribosomal RNA". It matches the Rfam family "Bacterial small subunit ribosomal RNA", at positions 354 to 796 of the family's 1533-position model. The record is from RNAcentral.